UACGAGGGGGGCGAGCGUUGUUCGAAAUUAUUGGGCGUAAAGGGUGCGUAGGCGGUUUGGUAAGUCUUAUGUGAAAUCUAUGGGCUCAACUCAUAGACUGCAUGAGAAACUGCCGGGCUUGAGUAUGGGAGAGGUGAGUGGAAUUCCUGGUGUAGCGGUGAAAUGCGUAGAUAUCAGGAGGAACACCUGUGGCGAAAGCGGCUCACUGGACCAUAACUGACGCUGAUGCACGAAAGCUAGGGGAGCAAACAGG
This 253-nucleotide ribosomal RNA is filed under the name uncultured bacterium. RNAcentral's name for it is "partial 16S ribosomal RNA". It matches the Rfam family "Bacterial small subunit ribosomal RNA", at positions 524 to 776 of the family's 1533-position model. The record is from RNAcentral.